UACUCGAGUGGCGAACGGGUGAGUAACACGUGGGUGAUCUGCCCUGCACUUCGGGAUAAGCCUGGGAAACUGGGUCUAAUACCGGAUAGGAGCCAUUUUUAGUGUGAUGGUUGGAAAGUUUUUUCGGUGUAGGAUGAGCUCGCGGCCUAUCAGCUUGUUGGUGGGGUAAUGGCCUACCAAGGCGGCGACGGGUAGCCGGCCCGAGAGGGUGGACGGCCACAUUGGGACUGAGAUACGGCCCAG
Molecule: ribosomal RNA, 243 nt
Filed under: uncultured Actinomycetales bacterium
Lineage: Bacteria; Bacillati; Actinomycetota; Actinomycetes; Actinomycetales
Description: partial 16S ribosomal RNA
Rfam family: Bacterial small subunit ribosomal RNA
Source: RNAcentral